GGCGGCAGGCUUACACAUGCAAGUCGAGCGCCCCGCAAGGGGAGCGGCAGACGGGUGAGUAACGCGUGGGAACAUACCCUCCGGUUCGGAAUAACUCAGGGAAACUUGAGCUAAUACCGGAUACGGCUUAGCGGCGAAAGAUUUAUCGCCGGAGGAUUGGCCCGCGUCCGAUUAGCUAGUUGGCGGGGUAAUGGCCCACCAAGGCGACGAUCGGUAGCUGGUCUGAGAGGAUGAUCAGCCACAUUGGGACUGAGACACGGCCCAAACUCCUACGGGAGGCAGCAGUGGGGAAUAUUGGACAAUGGGCGCAAGCCUGAUCCAGCCAUGCCGCGUGAGUGAUGACGGCCUUAGGGUUGUAAAGCUCUUUCGCGAGGGACGAUAAUGACGGUACCUCGAUAAGAAGCCCCGGCUAACUUCAUGCCAGCAGCCGCGGUAAUACGAAGGGGGCUAGCGUUGUUCGGAAUUACUGGGCGUAAAGCGCGUGUAGGCGGGUCUUUAAGUCAGGGGUGAAAUGCCAAGGCUCAACCUUGGAACUGCCUUUGAUACUGGAGAUCU
This 555-nucleotide ribosomal RNA is filed under the name uncultured bacterium. Its description in RNAcentral is "bacterial SSU rRNA". It matches the Rfam family "Bacterial small subunit ribosomal RNA", at positions 38 to 642 of the family's 1533-position model. The record is from RNAcentral.